UACGUAGGGGGCAAGCGUUAUCCGGAUUUACUGGGUGUGAAGGGAGCGUAGACGGCGAUGCAAGUCUGAAGUGAAAGGCGGGGGCCCAACCCCCGGACUGCAUUUGAAACUGUGUUUCUUGAGUACUGGAGAGGCAGACGGAAUUCCUAGUGUAGCGGUGAAAUGCGUAGAUAUUAGGAGGAACACCAGUGGCGAAGGCGGUCUGCUGGACAGCAACUGACGCUGAGGCGCGAAAGCGUGGGGAGCAAACAGG
This 253-nucleotide ribosomal RNA is filed under the name uncultured bacterium. RNAcentral's name for it is "partial 16S ribosomal RNA". It matches the Rfam family "Bacterial small subunit ribosomal RNA", at positions 524 to 776 of the family's 1533-position model. The record is from RNAcentral.